RNAcentral lists this ribosomal RNA (490 nucleotides) under uncultured bacterium. RNAcentral describes it as "partial 16S ribosomal RNA". It matches the Rfam family "Bacterial small subunit ribosomal RNA", at positions 30 to 507 of the family's 1533-position model. The record is from RNAcentral.
AUUGAACGCUGGCGGCAGGCCUAACACAUGCAAGUCGAACGGUAACAGGAAGAAGCUUGCUUCUUUGCUGACGAGUGGCGGACGGGUGAGUAAUGUCUGGGAAACUGCCUGAUGGAGGGGGAUAACUACUGGGAACGGUAGCUAAUACCGCAUAACGUAGCAAGACCAAAGAGGGGGACCUUCGAGCCUCUUGCCCUCGGAUGUGCCCAGAUGGCAUUAGCUAGUUGGUGGGGUAACGGCUCACCUAGGCGACGAUCCCUAGCUGGUCUGAGAGGAUGACCAGCCACACUGGAACUGAGACACGGUCCAGACUCCUACGGGAGGCAGCAGUGGGGAAUAUUGCACAAAGGGCGCAAGCCUGAUGCAGCCAUGCCGCGUGUAUGAAGAAGGCCUUCGGGUUGUAAAGUACUUUCAGCGGGGAGGAAGGGAAUAAAGUUAAUACCUUUGCGCAUUGACGUUACCCGCAGAAGAAGCACCGGCUAACUCCGUG